RNAcentral lists this ribosomal RNA (247 nucleotides) under uncultured bacterium. RNAcentral's name for it is "partial 16S rRNA". It matches the Rfam family "Bacterial small subunit ribosomal RNA", at positions 505 to 751 of the family's 1533-position model. The record is from RNAcentral.
GUGUCAGCAGCCGCGGUAAUACGGGGGGUGCAAGCGUUGUUCGGAAUCAUUGGGCGUAAAGCGCGCGCAGGCGGCUUGGUAAGUCAGAUGUGAAAUCCCUGGGCUUAACCCAGGAAGUGCAUUUGAUACUGCCUCGCUAGAGUACGGGAGAGGAAAGUGGAAUUCCUGGUGUAGAGGUGAAAUUCGUAGAUAUCAGGAGGAACACCGGUGGCGAAGGCGACUUUCUGGCCCGAUACUGACGCUCAGG